Molecule: ribosomal RNA, 497 nt
Filed under: uncultured bacterium
Lineage: Bacteria
Description: partial 16S ribosomal RNA
Rfam family: Bacterial small subunit ribosomal RNA
Source: RNAcentral
GAUGAACGCUGGCGGCGUGCCUAAUACAUGCAAGUCGAGCGAACAGACGAGGAGCUUGCUCCUCUGACGUUAGCGGCGGACGGGUGAGUAAAACGUGGAUAACCUACCUAUAAGACUGGGAUAACUUCGGGAAACCGGAGCUAAUACCGGAUAAUAUAUUGAACAGCAUGGUUCAAUAGUGAAAGACGGUUUUGCUGUCACUUAUAGAUGGAUCCGCGCCGCAUUAGCUAGUUGGUAAGGUAACGGCUUACCAAGGCGACGAUGCGUAGCCGACCUGAGAGGAUGAUCGGCCACACUGGAACUGAGACACGGUCCAGACUCCUACGGGAGGCAGCAGUAGGGAAUCUUCCGCAAUGGGCGAAAGCCUGACGGAGCAACGCCGCGUGAGUGAAGAAGGUCUUCGGAUCGUAAAACUCUGUUAUUAGGGAAGAACAGAUGUGUAAGUAACUAUGCACGUCUUGACGGUACCUAAUCAGAAAGCCACGGCUAACUACGUG